RNAcentral lists this long non-coding RNA (1369 nucleotides) under Monodelphis domestica (gray short-tailed opossum). Its description in RNAcentral is "lncRNA (ENSMODG00000035086.2)". Lineage: Eukaryota; Metazoa; Chordata; Mammalia; Didelphimorphia; Didelphidae. The record is from RNAcentral.
AACAGUUAGAGUCUUCCAAUAAUCAAGUAAAAUUUCAACUCUUCUGGGAUGUGUUGCCUGAUUUCUCCAAGUAUUAUAUAUCUUUAUUUCCUCAAAUUAUCCCAUAUUAUCUUCUCUGGAGAUAUGUCAUAUUUCCCCUAGUAAUAAAGUUUAAUGUCAAGGACAGAGAUAGCUUUGCCUUCCUCGUUGUAGUCCCAUCAUGAAACAUUAAGUUUUGCAAGAGUAGAAAAUGUACAAAAGAAAUGUUUGGGUAAGUGAAUCAAAUGGGAUAUUUCUAUAUCUGUCUAUAUUCCUAUAUCUAUAUGUAGACCUUAGAGUGAUAAAUUGAGGGGUAGAUUUUGUAUAUACAGUCUUCCCUCAUUAUAUCAGGGUUCACUUAUUGUAGCUUUACUGUAUCAAGGGUUGUUUUUUAAAUAUAUAUACAUAUAUAUCUGUAUUGUGGAGUUUUCACUAAAUCAUGGGAUUUUGCAGAUGAAUACUGUACUGUAUACAAUGGAAACUCAAUAUGCCACUAUUGCUUGUGGAAGUUUGCCAAUGUGAGAUUGUACACGCACAUUAUUGGCUGAUUCAAUGAAAAGUGACCAAUUACACUGCUGAAUUCUGUAUCCUGGGAACUGACUGGCUCAGUGACUGUAGCAUUGGUCUGUUUGCUCUCCCUCACUGUGCUCAUAUAUUCAGCAUCUCUUUUUGUCCACUUCACAUCGACAUCUGAUCACUGUCUGUAGUGUUGCUUUAUGGUGUUGCUUUGUUGUGAAAUUUUCAUAAAAGGUGGAAUUUAUUUCAAGUCCUAUGCUACCCAAAUGUUCUGCUCCUUCUAAGGCUCCUGGCAGUGAACCUGAGUACCAGAGGAAGAUGCUUACCAGCAAAGGAUAAUAAAAUAAAUAUAACAUCAGCACUUCAGGAAUUUUCUACUUUCACAGGGGUCUCUGGAAUAUAAGCUCCCAUGAAAGAUUUGGGAUCACUGUAUUUUCCAGCUUUUAGGUCUCUUCCUCCUCCCCUCUCUUCUUCUGUCCUUCCCUCAGAAGCUCUUACCUGCCCUAAGCCAGAGACAGUCAAAAGUUGUGAGCUCAGUUUCCAACUGCUUUUACCCUGCUAUAGGGCAGGCUUAAACAAGAUUGUUUUAUAUGAAUCCUGGUGUCAGCAAUCUUUUCCCCCUUUCCACUGGAGCUGAGGACCCUCACUUUAGUUGCCAUUCUUCAGCAUUGUUAAGGAUUUUGACACUAAACGGUAAGUACUAGUGGAUUACUCCUUCCAUGGAGAAUUGAGUUUUAACAGGGGAAAGAUAGAAUGGAACCAUCACAAAAAAGAAACAAAUUAAUUCUUUCUGAGCCAUCAAUAAACAUAAAAUAUUUUCUUUUACCCUUAACCA